This 253-nucleotide ribosomal RNA is filed under the name uncultured bacterium. RNAcentral's name for it is "partial 16S ribosomal RNA". It matches the Rfam family "Bacterial small subunit ribosomal RNA", at positions 524 to 776 of the family's 1533-position model. The record is from RNAcentral.
UACGUAGGGGGCAAGCGUUGUCCGGAAUUAUUGGGCGUAAAGCGCACGUAGGUGGUCUGUUAUGUCAGAUGUGAAAGCCCUCGGCUUAACUGAGGAAGUGCACCUGAAACUGGCAGGCUUGAGUACGAAAGAGGGUCGCGGAAUUCCCGGUGUAGAGGUGAAAUUCGUAGAUAUCGGGAGGAACACCGGUGGCGAAGGCGGCGGACUGGGUCGAUACUGACACUGAGGUGCGAAAGCGUGGGGAGCAAACAGG